UACGUAGGUGGCGAGCGUCGUCCGGAUUUACUGGGCGUAAAGGGAGCGUAGGCGGACUUUUAAGUGAGAUGUGAAAUACUCGGGCUCAACUUGAGUGCUGCAUUUCAAACUGGAAGUCUAGAGUGCAGGAGAGGAGAAUGGAAUUCCUAGUGUAGCGGUGAAACGCGUAGAGAUUAGGAAGAACACCAGUGGCGAAGGCGAUUCUCUGGACUGUGACUGACGCUGAGGCUCGAAAGCGUGGGGAGCAAACAGG
Molecule: ribosomal RNA, 253 nt
Filed under: uncultured bacterium
Lineage: Bacteria
Description: partial 16S ribosomal RNA
Rfam family: Bacterial small subunit ribosomal RNA
Source: RNAcentral